Molecule: unclassified non-coding RNA, 2452 nt
Filed under: Hevea brasiliensis (rubber tree)
Lineage: Eukaryota; Viridiplantae; Streptophyta; Magnoliopsida; Malpighiales; Euphorbiaceae
Source: RNAcentral
AGAAGGUCCAACUCUUAAAGCCUUCAAGGUCAAGGUCCGGAAACCUGUAUCAAAAAAUUCAGAGGAGAGUUCGAAUGGAGGAGGGAUUUGAGUAACAACAAUCAACCGACUGGUUGUCAGAGUCUGGUACUGCAAGCUAUAACGCUAUUUUCUCAAAUACUAACGGGUAGAAAAGCACAGACUCGUUUCCUUUGAGCGCACAAGCACCAUGAGCAGCUCUACCAAAUCCAGAAACUUCCGCCGCCGAGGCGAUGACUAUGAUGAUAACAACGAUACUAGCACCAACAUUCACAGCUCCGUCCCUUCUUCCGCUGUCUCCCGUAAACCUUCUGCCUCUUCCUCUUCUUCCAAACCCAAGAAGCUCCUCAGCUUUGCCGACGACGAAGACGACGAUACCCCAUCUUCCCGCAUCUCCUCCUCCAAAUCUUCUGCUUCUCAGAAACCUUCUUCGCGCCUCACCAAACCCAGUUCUUCUCACAAGCUCACCGCCUCCAAGGACCGUCUACCUCCUACCCCAUCGUCUACCGCCUCCAAUGUGUUUCCCCAAGCAGGAACUUACACCAAAGAAGCCCUUCUUGAGCUCCAAAAGAACACCCGCACCCUCGCUAAACCCACGUCUUCCGCUUUGAAGACUCCUUCCUCAUCUACUUCUGAGCCCAAAAUCAUUCUCAAGGGCCUCCUCAAACCCGCCCAGGAAGACCCUGUCUCGCAAACCCUAAAACAAUCCCAACAAUUAGGCUCCGAGGAAGAAGACCAACAGCCAGAAGAUAGUAACAGGAAUGAUGCGGAAAAUCGAUUGGCAUCAUUGGGGUUGGGGAAGUCGAAGGAUUAUUCGUUGAUUCCAGACGAGGAGACUAUCAAGAAGAUCAGGGCAAAAAGGGAGCGGAUGAGGCAGUCGAGGGCAGCUGCUCCCGAUUAUAUAUCCUUGGAUGGAGGUUCUAACCAUGGAGCGGUAGAAGGCUUGAGCGAUGAGGAGCCUGAGUUUCGGACGCGGAUUGCCAUGAUUGGCAAGAAAGAGACCAGUAGCAGCAGUCACGGUGUGUUUGAGGAUUUUGACAAUGACGGUGAUGACAAUGGUCAUAUCAAAGCAAUGAUUGGUAUCACUGCUGCUAGAUAUCCCAAUAGUCAAGUCAUUGUGGAGGAUGGUACUGGUGGUGUCGACGAUGAGGAUGAGGAGGACAAGAUGUGGGAGGAAGAGCAAUUCAGGAAGGGUUUAGGGAAGAGAAUGGACGAUGGGUCUGGUACUAACAGGGUCUUCACUAGUGUUACUACUUCUGUGGUGCAAAAUCAGCAGCCACAACAGCAGCUGCAGAGACCGGUUAUGUAUGGUUCUGUUCCAAGCAUUGGAGGGGCAUCUGUAGCAUCUCAAGGUUUAGAUGCCUUGUCCAUACCGCAACAGGCUGAGAUUGCUACGAAAGCUUUGCAGGAUAAUAUCAGGAGGCUUAAGGAAUCUCAUAGUAGAACAGUUUCGUCACUGACAAAGACUGAUGAGAAUUUAUCUGCCUCAUUGAUGAAUAUUACUGCUCUUGAAAGAUCUCUAUCUGCUGCUGGUGAGAAGUUCAUCUUUAUGCAAAAGCUUCGUGACUUUGUUUCUGUUAUAUGUGAAUUUCUGCAGCAUAAAGCUCCUUACAUUGAGGAAUUGGAAGAACAGAUGCAGAAGCUUCAUGAACAGCGUGCUUCUGCAAUUGUAGAACGAAGAACUGCUGAUAAUGACGAUGAAAUGAUGGAGGUGGAAGCCGCUGUAAAGGCAGCGAUGUUGGUUUUCAGUGAACGGGGCAGUAGUGCAUCAUUUAUUGCUGCUGCUACAAGUGCAGCCCAAGCUGCAUCAGCUACCAUGAAAGAACAAGCUAAUCUUCCUGUGAAGUUGGAUGAAUUUGGUAGAGACAUCAACCAACAGAAACGUAUGGAUAUGAAGAGGAGGGCUGAGGCCCGUCACCGUAGGAAAGCUCGAUUUGAGUCAAAGAGAUUGUCUUCCAUGGAGGUAGAUGGUUCUGAUCAGAAAAUAGAGGGAGAAUCAAGCACAGAUGAGAGUGACAGUGAAAGUGCAGCUUACCAGUCAAACCGUGAUUUGUUGCUUCAGACUGCAGAUCAAAUAUUUGGUGAUGCUUCUGAAGAAUAUUCUCAACUGUCAGUUGUUAAAGAAAGGUUUGAAAGGUGGAAAAGAGAAUAUUCAACAAGCUAUCGAGAUGCAUACAUGUCACUAAGCGCACCUGCCAUCUUCUCUCCCUACGUGAGACUAGAACUUCUAAAAUGGGACCCUCUCCAUGAGGAUGCUGAUUUUUUUGAUAUGAAAUGGCAUUCCCUGCUGUUUAAUUAUGGUUUGCCAGAAGAUGGAAGUGAUCUAAGUCCUGAUGAUGCUGAUAGCAAUCUUGUUCCAGAACUAGUAGAAAAGGUUGCAAUUCCUAUUUUGCAUCAUGAAAUUGCCCACUGUUGGGACGUGCUCCGUACAAAA